This 354-nucleotide unclassified non-coding RNA is filed under the name soil metagenome. RNAcentral's name for it is "partial contains 5.8S ribosomal RNA, internal transcribed spacer 2, and large subunit ribosomal RNA". The stretch from base 1 to 120 matches the Rfam family "5.8S ribosomal RNA", at positions 35 to 154 of the family's 154-position model. The record is from RNAcentral.
GAUGAAGAACGCAGCGAAACGCGAUAGUUAAUGUGAAUUGCAGAAUUCAGUGAAUCAUCGAGUCUUUGAACGCACAUUGCGCCCCUCGGUAUUCCGGAGGGCAUGUCUGUUUGAGCGUCAUUUCAACACCCUCGCUUUAAGCGGUAUUGAGGCGUGGAAUCCAUAUCAAUGGAACCAAGCUUUUAAAGUUGAAGGCAAGCAGAACGAAUGUCUUGAACAAAACAUAGUAAAAUCUUCACGGUUUCUCCUGUUUGUCCUCGAUGUUACGUCUCGCCCAAACAAUUUUUUUUUUAGUUUUGACCUCAGAUCAGACAAGGAUACCCGCUGAACUUAAGCAUAUCAAUAAGCGGAGGA